CAGGCCUACCAAUGGAGCUUUCCUUUAUCAGCGUACCUUUCAUUCACCAAACAGCAACUUUUACCCAUUUGUCAGAGAUUCUCACGUCUGCUGUUUCUUAAAAUUAAUCCACCCAAAUAACCCUUGUGCCAAAGAGGCACAUUUUGCCUGGUAUGUUCUGCCUCCUUCACACGGAUGCACCCAGUUUGCUUAUGGAUUCAUCACUGGAAGGACAUCCUGGCUUCGUUAAGUUUGUAACCACUAUGAAUAGAACUGCUGUGCAUAGCUGCAUGUUUUUGUUUGGAAAUAGCUUUUCAAAGCAGUGGUCUAAAUACUAGAAGUACAAUUGUUGGACCUUAACGUGAGACUUAUUUAGGUUUGGAGAAAAUGGCCAAACUGUCUUCUGAAGGGACGGUUGCUGCCAUUCCUCACCUUCCAGCAAUUGGUAUUCUUGUUUCUGGAGUUCAGCAUUUGGACUAGGUGUGCAGUGCUGUCUCACUGUCGUUUACACUUGUACUUUCCUAAUGAUGACAUCGAGCAUAUUUUUGUACGCUUAUUCUGUAUCUGCAUAUCUUCUUUGUCCAGGCAUUUUCAGAUCCUUACCCAUUAUCAGUUAGGAGGUUUGUUUCCUUAUUGUUCAGUUCUGAUAGCUUUUUUGUAUAUUUUGAAUACAGAUCUUUUACCAGAUAUAUGUUUUGCAAAUAUUUCCUCCCAGUUUGUGGCUUGGUUUUUAGUUUCUGAGCAAGGUCUUUCACAGAACUUCCUAAUUUUAGGAAGUUCAUGUCAUCAGUUUUUUUUCUUUUGUGGAUUGGCGUUUGGUGUUGUGUUAAAACUCAUCACCAAACCCAAGGUCAUGUAGAUAUUCUUUUAUGUUUUCUUUUUGACAGUUUUACAUUUUAAAUUUAUCUACAAUGUUGAAUGAAUUUUGGUGUAAGUUGUAAAGCUUGUGCCUGCAUUUCGCUUAAUUCUGUAGGGUUUCUAAUUAAUUGUUUCUAUUUCUGGAGAUGUCGGGGGUAAUUGGACUUCAUUUCAGUUUGAAUUUUCCAAAUGUAAUGGAUUCAGCUGGACCCCAGAAGGGACAGGUGCCUCCACUGAACUGAGCGCCCCGCACCCUGCACUGCCCCCACCGCCCACAGGGGGCGCCCGAGUCCCGCUCCGCGACUCCCGCGGGGCACGCGCUUUCCGGGGCGCUGACAGGCCUUCCAAGUCCUCAGGACCCUGUGUGCUGAUGCCCAGGCCCGGGGGGACGUGGGGCCUCAUCCACAGUCAGGAGCCCGGCCUUCCACGACCUGCUGAGGAGGAUGUGGGGCUGUGUCCACGUGGACAGGAGCCCGGCCUCCUCAGGACCCACAGUGGAGACUUCGGGAGGACGUGGAGCAGUGUCCACACCCACAGGACCCGGGUCUCCUCAGGACCCGCCACGGGAGGAGAAGGUGAGGAGAAACCGCCUGAGUGGGGACUGCCAAGGGCUCCAUGCUGUGUAGACGUCUGUCGUUGGUGUGUCAGGGGUGUCCGAGGACAGGGCUGUCCGUCUCCCUCGACGUCUGUCGUCGGUGUCUCAGGGGUGUCUGAGAGCAGGGCUGUCCCCUGUUGAGUAUUUCACUGAGGAGGAGGUGUUGGGAGGGUUGUUCUGGAGGAAAGUCCCCUGGAGAGAAGCGGGGUUGGGGUGAAGGAGGGUUCUCACCCGCUGAGCUGCAGGAGUAGUGAUUUCUGGGAGGAGGUGAAACCCGCAUCUUCCCCUUUGGGGCCUGUGGCUGAUGAGUCUCUGCUGUGGGGCUUCUAAUGUGGGGUCUGUGAUUGACAGUUGUUCCUGUAACUGACACUGGGUGGUCGGCUCCCCCGCCCAGCCCCCCUUCUGGCGACCCUAGUCCACUUGACUGAGCCUUCCCUUCAUGCAUUUUCGCAGUUCUAACCAGUUUUUGGUGGAGUGUGUGGAAAAUUGGAAUUCCAGAUCCCACUGCUUCUCCUGUUCCCGAGACACAAGAGCCGCCAAUGUCAUCCUCCCACGAGUCUCUUGCUAACGUGUGGCCUCCUACACUGGCAAGUGGCCUCUCCGUGGUGGGUGAACUGGGUCUGGGAGGACUUGGCCUCCAUCAGGAAGCUUGAUGUGGUCUCUGCUCCUGUGACCUGGUGCUGACGUGGUUGUUUGUAAGAGUACUUGACUCUGCGAUGAUUUCAAGGUGCAGUGAACCUGUCACAGCAGCACAAAUAUCCUGGAUCUCCACACGCAGACUCCCCAGCUGUCGUUUCUUUACCACACUUGCCACUUCACACGGGAUACUUCAGUGCGUUUUAUCCCAAACAGGGACACGCUCCCGCGGAGCCACCACAUAACCCUGAACGAGGAAAUCACUGCGGUUUCCAUAUUAUAAUCCAGACCACAGGUCCCCUUGAACUGUUGCCUCCUGCCCCACUGUCUGAAAUAUCCUGCUCCAUUCGGAUCCAGUUUUCUUCUUCUGCAACUGCUCCCGAGACUUUCCCAUAUUUGCACAGCCCUGAUGGAUUUAAGGAGCACAGAUGCCUCCAAUCUGGGUGGCCUCUCUGGAUGGCUUAUGUCGCUGGGGCUGUUUUCAGUGUCCGUCCACAUGGUGACAUGCAUCAGUCCUUCAUUUUUUCACUGUGACUAAACAUAGUAACAUUUACCACUUAAAACAUUUCAGGUUCACAGUUCUCUGGCCUUAGCUGACUUCACAGGGUUGUACAUCAUUCUCUAGAACUUCUUCUUUCUCCCCAAGGGAGAUCGUGUGCAUGAAACACUAACUCCCUAUUCCCCUUUCCUCUCGGCCCUGCAGCCACAUUCAACUCUCUGUCUCUAGAUACCUCAUACAGGUGGAAUCACACAGUGUCUGUCCUUCUGUGAAAGCCAGCAUCUUGUCCUUGUUCCUGAUUUCAGAGCAGAGCUGUCAAUCUUGAGACUUGAGCAUGGGGUUUGCUACAGGAUUAUUGAAAAAAAUUACCCCUUAUUCCUGUUUCGGGAGUGUUUAUAUCAGCAACAGACAUUAGAUUUUGGUUAGAACCUUUCCUGCAUCAAUUAAUAUAACCACAUGUUUUUAUUUAAAAAUUUAUUGCAGAGUA
Ailuropoda melanoleuca (giant panda) is the source of this 3054-nucleotide long non-coding RNA. RefSeq lists it as uncharacterized. The transcript has 2 exons. The record is from RefSeq and is a predicted model, not a curated record. Lineage: Eukaryota; Metazoa; Chordata; Mammalia; Carnivora; Ursidae.